Molecule: small nucleolar RNA, 81 nt
Filed under: Aspergillus rambellii
Lineage: Eukaryota; Fungi; Ascomycota; Eurotiomycetes; Eurotiales; Aspergillaceae
Description: Small nucleolar RNA R38
Rfam family: A. fumigatus snoRNA Afu_328
Source: Rfam by way of RNAcentral
UUUUUUUUAUGAUGAGCAAUUUUAUUAUUAGUUAUCCCUGUCAGAACUACACUGUUGAUAACGUACACCUCUGAAAAAAAA